UAUACGGAGAGUUUGAUCCUGGCUCAGGAUGAACGCUAGCGGCGUGCCUAACGCAUGCAAGUCGAACGGUAAGCCCUUCGGGGCCUAGAGUGGCGAACGGGUGAGUAACACGUAGGUGACCUGCCUCAGAGAGGGGAACAACCAUUGGAAACGAUGGCUAAUACCCCAGAUGUCUAGUUGGCUAGAAAGACUAGACUAAAGCUUUUGCGCUCUGAGAGGGGCCUGCGGUCCAUCAGCUAGUUGGUGAGGUAAUGGCUCACCAAGGCGAAGACGGAUAGGGGGCGUGAGAGCGCGACCCCCCACACUGGUACUGACACACGGACCAGAUACCUACGGGUAGCAGCAGCGAGGAAUAUUGCGCAAUGGGGGAAACCCUGACGCAGCAACGCCGCGUGGAGGACGAAGGCCUUCGGGUUGUAAACUCCUUUUCUAAGGGAAGAGAAAGGACGGUACCUUAGGAAUAAGGCCCGGCUAACUACGUGCCAGCAGCCGCGGUAAUACGUAGGGGCCAAGCGUUAUCCGGAUUUAUUGGGCGUAAAGCGCGUGCAGGCGGUUUCGUCAGUCGGAUGUGAAAGCUCUCGGCUCAACUGGGAGAGGCCAUUCGAAACUGCGAAACUAGAGGUUGGUAGAGGUGAGUGGAAUUCCCGGUGUAGCGGUGAAAUGCGUAGAUAUCGGGAGGAACACCAGAGGCGAAAGCGGCUCACUGGGCCACACCUGACGCUCAGACGCGAAAGCUAGGGGAGAGAACGGGAUUAGAAACCCCGGUAUUCCUAGCCGUAAACGAUGUCAACUAGGCGUAGGAGGUCGUAAGACCUUCUGUGCUAAAGCUAACGCGAUAAGUUGACCGCCUGGGGAGUACGGCCGCAAGGCUAAAACUCAAAGGAAUUGGCGGGGACCCGCACAAGCAGCGGAGCGUGUGGUUUAAUUCGAGGCAACGCGAAAAACCUUACCAAGGUUUGACAUGUACAUGGUAGAGAACGGAAACGGGAUCGACCCUUCGGGGGAGUGUACACAGGUGCUGCAUGGCUGUCGUCAGCUCGUGCCGUGAGGUGUUCGGUUAAGUCCGCUAACGAGCGCAACCCUCAUCGUUAGUUACAAGUGUCUAGCGAGACUGCCAGUGAUAAGCUGGAGGAAGGUGGGGAUGACGUCAAGUCAGCAUGGCCUUUAUAUCUUGGGCUACACACACGCUACAAUGGCCAGUACAAUGAGUAGCGAAACCGCGAGGUGAAGCCAAUCUCGUAAAGCUGGUCUCAGUUCGGAUUGUAGGCUGCAACUCGCCUGCAUGAAGUCGGAGUUGCUAGUAACCGCGCGUCAGCAUAGUGCGGUGAAUACGUUCCCGGGUCUUGCACACACCGCCCGUCACGUCAUGGAAGUUGGCAACGCCUAAAGUCGGUGGGCUAACCGCAAGGAAGCAGCCGCCUAAGGCGGGGUCGGUAACUGGGACGAAGUCGUAACAAGGUAGCUGUAGCGGAAGCUGCGGCUGGAUCACCUCCUUU
RNAcentral lists this ribosomal RNA (1496 nucleotides) under Candidatus Hadersleviella danica. Its description in RNAcentral is "bacterial SSU rRNA". It matches the Rfam family "Bacterial small subunit ribosomal RNA". Lineage: Bacteria; Bacillati; Chloroflexota; Ardenticatenia; Promineifilales (SeqCode); Promineifilaceae (SeqCode). The record is from RNAcentral.